AGCGAACGCUGGCGGCAGGCUUAACACAUGCAAGUCGAACGCCCCGCAAGGGGAGUGGCAGACGGGUGAGUAACACGUGGGAACGUACCCUUUGGUUCGGAAUAACUCAGGGAAACUUGAGCUAAUACCGGAUAAGCCCUUAUGGGGAAAGAUUUAUCGCCGAAGGAUCGGCCCGCGUCCGAUUAGCUAGUUGGUGAGGUAACGGCUCACCAAGGCGACGAUCGGUAGCUGGUCUGAGAGGAUGAUCAGCCACACUGGGACUGAGACACGGCUCAGACUCCUACGGGAGGCAGCAGUGGGGAAUAUUGGACAAUGGGGGCAACCCUGAUCCAGCCAUGCCGCGUGAGUGAUGAAGGCCCUAGGGUUGUAAAGCUCUUUCGGCGGGGACGAUAAUGACGGUACCCGCAGAAGAAGCCCCGGCUAACUUCGUGCCAGCAGCCGCCGUAA
RNAcentral lists this ribosomal RNA (447 nucleotides) under uncultured bacterium. Its description in RNAcentral is "partial 16S ribosomal RNA". It matches the Rfam family "Bacterial small subunit ribosomal RNA", at positions 29 to 523 of the family's 1533-position model. The record is from RNAcentral.